This 406-nucleotide ribosomal RNA is filed under the name uncultured bacterium. RNAcentral's name for it is "partial 16S ribosomal RNA". It matches the Rfam family "Bacterial small subunit ribosomal RNA", at positions 30 to 526 of the family's 1533-position model. The record is from RNAcentral.
AUUGAACGCUGGCGGCAGGCCUAACACCUGCAAGUCGCACGAGUGGCGGACGGGUGAGUAAUGUCUGGGAAACUGCCUGAUGGAGGGGGAUAACUACUGGAAACGGUAGCUAAUACCGCAUACCAUCGGAUGUGCCCAGAUGGGAUUAGCUAGUAGGUGGGGUAACGGCUCACCUAGGCGACUAUCCCUCGAUGGUCUGAGAGGAUGACCAGCCACACGGGAACGGAGACACGGGCCAGACUACUACGGGAGGCAGCAGUGGGGAAUAUUGCACAAUGGGCGCAAGCCGGAGGCAGCCAUGCCGCGUGUGUGAAGAAGGCCUACGGUUUGUAAAGCACUUUCAGCGAGGAGGCGUUACUCGCAGAAGAAGCACCGGCUAACUCCGUGCCAGCAGCCGCGGUAAUUC